Molecule: non-coding RNA, 94 nt
Filed under: Ezakiella coagulans
Lineage: Bacteria; Bacillati; Bacillota; Tissierellia
Also listed under: 1 other name
Description: Bacteroides coagulans THF (Tetrahydrofolate) riboswitch aptamer
Rfam family: THF (Tetrahydrofolate) riboswitch aptamer
About the family: THF riboswitch presents a pseudoknot that joins P1-P2 and the loop of P3 and two THF binding.
Source: Rfam by way of RNAcentral
AUCAGAGUAGGUAAAGAGCGUAAAGUGUUAAGCUAUGGGUUGUCGAGCUUAAACGAAGGUCAUUUGACUGCGGUUCUUUAUCGCAACCGCUUUG